GGGAUGAAUAUAAUUAACAUAUGCUAUGGGCCCUGGUCUAAAGUAGUGUUCUAUAUAUAGGGAAUAGGGCCCUGGUCUAUAUAGGGAAUAGGGCCCUGGUCUAUAUAGGGGAUAGGGCCCUGGUCUAUAGGGAAUAGGGCCCUGGUCUAAAGUAGUGUUCUAUAUAUAGGGAAUAGGGCCCUGGUCUAUAUAGGGAAUAGGGCCCUGGUCUAAAGUAGUGUCCUCUAUAUAGGGAAUAGGGCCCUGGUCUAUAUAGGGAAUAGGGCUCUGGUCUAUAUAGGGGAUAGGGCCCUGGUCUAAAGUAUAGUGCACUAUAUAGGGAAUAGGGCCCUGGUCUAAAGUAGUGUCCUAUAUAGGGAAUAGGGCCCUGGUCUAAAGUAGGAAUAGGGCCCUGGUCUAAAGUAGUGUUCUCUAUAUAGGGAAUAGGGCCCUGGUCUAUAUAGGGAAUAGGGCCCUCGUCUAAAGUAGUGUCCUAAAUAGGGAAUAGGGUGCUAUGACACGUUGAUCAUUGACCUUUGACCCCUGCUCCUGGUUUGAAGACGCCAACAUUUAGUUAGUGUACAUAGAGAUCAUUCAUGUAUUUAUUUGUCUUGGGUUUGUAAAAGUGAUUGUGUAG
This 616-nucleotide long non-coding RNA is filed under the name Salmo salar (Atlantic salmon). RNAcentral's name for it is "lncRNA (ENSSSAG00000103023.1)". Lineage: Eukaryota; Metazoa; Chordata; Actinopteri; Salmoniformes; Salmonidae. The record is from RNAcentral.